This 504-nucleotide ribosomal RNA is filed under the name uncultured bacterium. RNAcentral's name for it is "bacterial SSU rRNA". It matches the Rfam family "Bacterial small subunit ribosomal RNA", at positions 32 to 517 of the family's 1533-position model. The record is from RNAcentral.
AACAAAACGCUGGCGGCGUGUCUUAAGCAUGCAAGUUGAGCGGCAAGGAGGAGAGAUCCUCCCUAGAGCGGCGGACUGGUGAGUAACGCGUGGGUAAUCUAUCGUAGGCAUGGGGAUAGUCACUAGAAAUAGUGGGUAAUACCGAAUACGUUCCAUGAGGGGAGUAUUCAUGGAAGAAAGGGUGCUACGGCACUGGCCUUAGGUGAGCUCGCGUCCCAUUAGCUAGUUGGUGAGGUAAAGGCCCACCAAGGCGAUGAUGGGUAGCCGGCCUGAGAGGGUGUACGGCCACACUGGGACUGAGAUACGGCCCAGACUCCUACGGGAGGCAGCAGCUAAGAAUAUUCCGCAAUGGACGAAAGUCUGACGGAGCGACGCCGCGUGGAUGAAGAAGGCCGAAAGGUUGUAAAGUUCUUUUGCUAGGGGAGAAUAAGGUGAGGGAGGGAAUGCCCUAUGAUGACAAGGACUAAGCGAAUAAGCCCCGGGCCAACUACGUGCCAGCAGCCG